This is a long non-coding RNA of Lontra canadensis (Northern American river otter), 963 nucleotides long. RefSeq lists it as uncharacterized. Lineage: Eukaryota; Metazoa; Chordata; Mammalia; Carnivora; Mustelidae. The record is from RefSeq and is a predicted model, not a curated record. The transcript is spliced from 2 exons.
GAAGACUCGGAGGGUGACGGGAUCCCGGAGAGGGACCCUGCGCGCGGAGGAAAGGGGGCAGAGUAUCCGAGAGUGGUGUUGCGAGAGUCUCGCCGUUGACCGGGAGCUGUGGCGGUUGUUUCGCGUUCCUGGCUCAGGUUCUGCGCGCUUCGCCGCUUUGGAGCCGCUCCUCUAGAGCUGGGCCUCCGCCGCCUGCUGCCGACGUGGGCUUGAAGGGCACCUCCGCACUUAAGCCUUGAUAUAGGAGGAAGCACAAGGAAGCCGUCUCUCUACCUAGACAACAGUUGUACUGGCAGAAACUGAAGUAACUAUUUUGGAACUCUGGAGUCUAUUUGAAUUCUUGCGUCUUCCAGGAGAAAGUCUGGUUGGUAAAUUGAGGUUAGUUUCAGUCAGUGUCAGCCUCUAGAAUGAUAACACCCCCCUGUUUCCUACCCUUCAGCCCUGUGGCCAGCAGCCAUAUUUACAUCCCAGUGUGGCUUGCUGGAGCUGUGGUGGGAAAUAAGAAUCUUGUUCACCAAAUACCUGGGUUCUGUAUUUUGAUUGCUUAUUGCUCCUUUUGAGUUCUGAGAUUCAGGCGCAGAGUGGUUGCCUGUGUUUCAACCUCCAUAGGCUGAGCUGGUUUCUAUGGGAUUUGAAGGAACAGCUCCUGUUCUGUGUGUUUGUUUUCCCUUUUACCCCAUUUGGGAAUCAGACAUUUAAGGAUUAGGACAUUCAGAAGCAACCACUUACAUAGGGAAAAUUAGAAAGCCAAUAUGUAUAACCAGGAAAAGAUGAAGACUCAGAAAAGAACUGAGAUGUUGACCUUUCACCUUAGGCUGAUCCUGAUCCCUGGUACAGAGAUAUCCUUCAACAAUAAAAACAAACAAACAAAAAAACAAAACCAACAACCCCUAGGAUGGGGGAGAAUCUUAUUUCCACAGUUACCACAUUAUAAGAUUCAAAUGUCCAUUUUUUGGCAAAAAA